RNAcentral lists this ribosomal RNA (497 nucleotides) under uncultured bacterium. RNAcentral's name for it is "partial 16S ribosomal RNA". It matches the Rfam family "Bacterial small subunit ribosomal RNA", at positions 28 to 507 of the family's 1533-position model. The record is from RNAcentral.
GAUGAACGCUGGCGGCGUGCCUAAUACAUGCAAGUCGAGCGAACAGACGAGGAGCUUGCUCCUCUGACGUUAGCGGCGGACGGGUGAGUAACACGUGGAUAACCUACCUAUAAGUCUGGGAUAACUUCGGGAAACCGGAGCUAAUACCGGAUAAUAUAUUGAACCGCAUGGUUCAAUAGUGAAAGACGGUUUUGCUGUCACUUAUAGAUGGAUCCGCGCCGCAUUAGCUAGUUGGUAAGGUAACGGCCUACCAAGGCAACGAUGCGUAGCCGACCUGAGAGGGUGAUCGGCCGCACUGGAACUGAGACACGGUCCAGACCCCUACGGGAGGCAGCAGUAGGGAAUCGUCCGCAAUGGGCGAAAGCCUGACGGAGCAACGCGGCGUGAGUGAUGAAGGUCUUCGGAUCGUAAAACUCUGUUAUUAGGGAAGAACAAAUGUGUAAGUAACUAUGCACGUCUUGACGGUACCUAAUAAGAAAGCCACGGCUAACUACGUG